Molecule: ribosomal RNA, 447 nt
Filed under: uncultured bacterium
Lineage: Bacteria
Description: partial 16S ribosomal RNA
Rfam family: Bacterial small subunit ribosomal RNA
Source: RNAcentral
AACGAACGCUGGCGGCAGGCUUAACACAUGCAAGUCGAGCGCCCCGCAAGGGGAGCGGCAGACGGGUGAGUAACACGUGGGAAUCUACCCAUCCCUGCGGAACAACUCCGGGAAACUGGAGCUAAUACCGCAUACGCCCUUCGGGGGAAAGAUUUAUCGGGGAUGGAUGAGCCCGCGUUGGAUUAGCUAGUUGGUGGGGUAAAGGCCUACCAAGGCGACGAUCCAUAGCUGGUCUGAGAGGAUGAUCAGCCACAUUGGGACUGAGACACGGCCCCAACUCCUUCGGGAGGCCGCAGGUGGGAAUAAUGGACAAGGGGGGCAAGCCUGAUCCCGCCAUGCCGCGGGAAUGAAUAAGGCCUUAGGGUUGGAAAGCUCUUUCACCGAUGAAGAUAAUGACGGUAGUCGGAGAAGAAGCCCCGGCUAACUUCGUGCCAGCAGCCGCUGUAA